AGGAGGCGGUGCGAGCCUCGCCUGCCAAAGGCAGCUCUGUUCCUCUGCGUGCGAUCCCGGGCGCCCCGCGCGUGGCCACCGCGCUCCGCCCGAGCCGCCGCCGGAGAGCGCGGGCGGCGGGGGCUCCGCGGGUGGCGGCGCAGCCGGGCCUCCGGGAGACCCUCCGCCUCCGGCCGGACGCCGUUCUCUGCCCCGAGGCGGGCCCGGCGUGGCCGCGGCUGUUCGGGACAGCGGCGAGGAGGAAGGGCGCUCUUCCGCGCCGUGGAUGUUCCGCCCGCGGGAGACGGCAAGUUGAGUGCGCGCCCCGGCCGCCGCCCGCCAGCCGUGGACCAUCGUCCUUACCACAGAGGAUGGAAAGUUGAUGGCCAGGAGGACUGAAGAUCCCUUCUGUUGCUAGACACCCCCCAUUACCGAAGUGUGGACUACCCGCCAUUCCCUGGUGGUUUCACGCCUUCCCUCACUCCUGCAGUCCCAGAACAGUUACUGUGGGUCCCCGUUGCCCUGUUGAAAGAUGGCAUCCAGCCUGACUUGUACCGGGGUGAUCUGGGCUUUGCUCUCCUUUCUUUGUGCUGCCACCUCCUGUGUGGGGUUCUUCAUGCCUUACUGGCUCUGGGGAUCACAGCUGGGCAAGUCUGUGUCCUUCGGUACUUUCCGGAGGUGCUCCUAUCCUGUGCAUGAUGAGAGCCGGCAGAUGAUGGUGAUGGUGGAGGAAUGUGGGCGCUACGCCUCCUUCCAGGGCAUCCCCAGUGCAGAAUGGAGGAUCUGUACCAUCGUGACGGGCCUGGGCUGUGGCCUCCUCCUCCUGGUGGCUCUCACUGCCCUCAUGGGUUGCUGUGUGUCGGAGCUCAUCUCCAGGACAGUGGGAAGAGUGGCUGGAGGAAUUCAGUUUCUGGGGGAUAUGAAUGUGGAGAGCGAGGAGAAUUUGGGAUGGGAGAAUGCAGUGCAGUCAUUUCACGUUCUAACUAAAUGCCUGAGGACGAUGUGGAAUGCGGUGCUGGGAAGGCUUGUUGAUCGGUGCGGGCUGUGCCCUCUACCCCUUGGGCUGGGACAGUGAGGAAAUCCGACAGACCUGUGGCUACAUUUCCGGCCAGUUUGACCUGGAGUGGACACUGAAGAAACACUGGGAGAAGCUCAUCUCAAAUACCAGUGAGCUUGGAACCAAGGAGAACCUCAGGACACAGAGGGGGUGAAAGAGAUCCAUUUGCAGGGGAAGAAUGAAAAGAAAGGGAAGGGAAAAUGUCAUUCCCGUGAGUCUCACUGGACACACCACCAGGCAGGCUGAGCGUGAUUGAUGGGGAAAACUACCGAGGGCCAGCAGUGUUUCGGAAGAGAAUAAAAAGACUACUUUCAGGGCAAUGCUACUCAGAGCUGCAAUUCCAUAUCAAAUAAUGUCAAUUCUUGCCAGAAUCUUGCUCAAAAGAAGAUAUUUCUAAGAUGCUCUUGAAUGUUUCUUCAAAUAAAGAUCCAAAUUCUGAUUCUGUCCUCUCCCAAUAUAAGCUUCUUAAAAGCAUUAUGUAAAUCGACAGUCACAUCUCGUGCCCUACCUGCUGCCCAGACUUCAAUCAGCCUGCCACGUGUCGUGGAGCCUAAUUCUGCACAUCAUGUGCUCAGCAUCUCUUAUGAGUCACAGUUAAUAUCAAAAGUUCCAAGGCAAGGUCACCCGCGAACAGGUGCACAUACAACGCAGGCCUCUGGAAGCACUGUUCUUGGAUACUGAGCAUCCACAAUGAUCAGAGGAUACCCGUGCAUUCCUUGGAGGGAGAAGAGAGGUGGAUGGAGAUGUGACAGUUUAGUGGACACUGUGCCCAGGCCUGGGUGAAGGAAAGGCCACGUGGUUCCUUCUUUCAGUUCCUCAUUCACUCAUUUAUUCCAUAGUAUGUACUCAGGGCCUUCAUUGUGCUGGGCACUGAGGAUGGAAAGAUUGACGGUCUUUCUGGAGAAGACAGAGAAUGAAACCAGAAGGAUCCAUACACUGUGCUAAGGGUGGGAUAAUGUGUGAGCACAGAGCAGUGGGAUCACACUGGAGAGAAGCUGACCCAGUUCUCGAAUGGUCAGGGAAGCCUUCCUGAAUGAGGAGAUAUUUAAGCUGGUAUUGGAAAGACAAGUGGCAAUUAUCCAAGGUGAUAGAGUGGUAGAGAAGCUACCAUAGGCAUUCACGUCUGAUAUGCCAAGGCUGAGAAACAGGACGGAGAGGCUUGGCUGUGGGACUCUGGGACUGUAGCACAAGGCAGGGUUGAGGUGAGGAACAAACAUAAAAGAAGACAAUGGAUGGGGCGCCUGGGUGGCUCAGUCGGUUAAACGUCUCACUUGUGAUUUUGGCUCAGGUCAUGAUCUCAUGGGUUGUGAGACUGAACCCUGUGUCAGGCUUCAAGCUCAGCAGGAACUCUGCUUGAGAUUCUCUCUUCCUCUGCCUCUGCCCCUCCUGUUUGUGCUCUCUCUCAUGCUCUCUAAAAUAAAUAAAUCUUAUAAAAAAAAGAAGAAGAAGAAGACAAUGGAGUCUGUAGCAGGGGCCAGAGCAUCUGAGUUUUUGCAGGACUGCCCAAGGAGUUUGGGAUUUAACCUGAAGGAAAUGAGAGUCACAAAGGGUUUUUACUAGGGAAUGGCAUGACCAAGUAGGAAAGUUGAGAAGAAGAAGUAUGCUGAUUUUCCUGGGUGUCUCUCCCGUGUCUUAUAGUUCUGGACAUACAAAGUUAGUUAAAUAAAAAAGGAGGUAGUGGCUUACUGCCUUGAAAAGGGUGCUUCUGCUAACAAAGGGGGCAAGCACGACUACAGAUUGCUUAGCAGAAAUGCGUAAGACCGUCUGAAGCCCACUGCCGAACACAGUGUUGGAGAGUCAGGAAGAUAACAGGAGCAAUGGUAAAUACCUUACAAAAACUGAUGGUAUAAAGGGGACUUCUGAAACGGGACCUAGAAAAGCCACAUUGGCGCUCCAACUCUCUCUUAAACCAGAAGAUAAGAGAUAACCUUUUGCAGGAACGUUGAAGGACAUGGACGUUAAAAAUAAUGUGCAAUGCUUCCUAUGUGUUACUACUCUUUGGAGAUCAAAAGUCAUUUUUAUGGGUUUAGAAAUGUAAAGAUGAAUUAUAUAUAAGUUGUUCUGCCCUGAAAAUGAGGUUGAUAUGUUGAGAUAUGAAACAUGAGAGGAAGGAAGUCCAGACCUCUGGAGAAAAUUUUCCUCUGAACUUUCAGAAGAGGCAUCAAAAAAAAAAAAAAGAAAAUCAAAGAGAAAAAACAAUUUAAUGAAAUUAGAUGAUCUCUAGUUGUUUUUAAGCUCUAGAAUUCGACUUUUGUGUGUGUGUGUGGCGUCGCGAAAGUAUUGUAACCUUUUAAAAGUGUUUUUAUGCAUGUUAUAUAAUUUAAUCUUCAACCAUUAUCUUUGGCAAAUUAUUAUUUUGAGGCCUGAAUGGAAAGAUACAACCCAUACUGUCAAAUAAACAAAUAUCAUGAACAUCUUCCUAACCCAACAUAGAUUCUUCCAAUCUGUAGCAACAUCCAAUUCAUUUUUCUUAAAUGUUGUCUUCUUUCAAAAUCGAAUGGCAAUUUAAAUUACUUCCUUGGGGGACUGGAAGCAAUCAUUUGGACACGGUAAGUAUGGGUAAAGAAAAUUCCCACAAAUUCCUUCAUAUCCAAGUGCCAUCAGCCAAGGAAAGUAGUGAGAUCUCUUUGACAGCCGCAGUGGGGACCUUAGAAAGAAAACAAGUACAGAUACCUUUUAGGGGGUGAUUUGAGAAAUGGUGCUAGGGCAGAAAGUAGUAUUU
Molecule: RNA transcript, 3758 nt
Organism: Mirounga angustirostris (Northern elephant seal)
Lineage: Eukaryota; Metazoa; Chordata; Mammalia; Carnivora; Phocidae
Gene: LHFPL6
Gene name: LHFPL tetraspan subfamily member 6
Exons: 6
Source: RefSeq, a predicted model, not a curated record